RNAcentral lists this ribosomal RNA (468 nucleotides) under uncultured bacterium. RNAcentral describes it as "partial 16S ribosomal RNA". It matches the Rfam family "Bacterial small subunit ribosomal RNA", at positions 28 to 507 of the family's 1533-position model. The record is from RNAcentral.
GACGAACGCUGGCGGCGUGCUUAACACAUGCAAGUCGAACGGAAAGGCCCUGCUUUUGUGGGGUGCUCGAGUGGCGAACGGGUGAGUAACACGUGAGUAACCUGCCCUUGACUUUGGGAUAACUUCAGGAAACUGGGGCUAAUACCGGAUAGGAGCUCCUGCUGCAUGGUGGGGGUUGGAAAGUUUCGGCGGUUGGGGAUGGACUCGCGGCUUAUCAGCUUGUUGGUGGGGUAGUGGCUUACCAAGGCUUUGACGGGUAGCCGGCCUGAGAGGGUGACCGGCCACCAUGGGACUGAGAUACGGACCAGACUCCUACGGGAGGCAGCAGUGGGGAAUAUUGCACAAUGGGCGGAAGCCUGAUGCAGCAACGCCGCGUGCGGGAUGACGGCCUUCGGGUUGUAAACCGCUUUCGCCUGUGACGAAGCGUGAGUGACGGUAAUGGGUAAAGAAGCACCGGCUAACUACGUG